CCUACGGGAGGCAGCAGUGGGGAAUAUUGGACAAUGUGGGGAACCCUGAUCCAGCGACGCCGCGUGAGUGAAGAAGUAUUUCGGUAUGUAAAGCUCUAUCAGCAGGGAAGAAAGAAAUGACGGUACCUGACUAAGAAGCAGCGGCUAACUACGUGCAAGCAGCCGCGGUAAUACGUAGGGGGCAAGCGUUAUCCGGAUUUACUGGGUGUAAAGGGAGCGUAGACGGCGAUGCAAGUCUGAAGUGAAAGGCGGGGGCUCAACCCCCGGACUGCUUUUGAAACUGUAUGGCUGGAGUGCAGGAGAGGUAAGUGGAAUUCCUAGUGUAGCGGUGAAAUGCGUAGAUAUUAGGAGGAACACCAGUGGCGAAGGCGGCUUACUGGACUGUAACUGACGUUGAGGCUCGAAAGCGUGGGGAGCAAACAGGAUUAGAUACCCCAGUAGUC
This 443-nucleotide ribosomal RNA is filed under the name uncultured bacterium. RNAcentral's name for it is "partial 16S ribosomal RNA". It matches the Rfam family "Bacterial small subunit ribosomal RNA", at positions 338 to 795 of the family's 1533-position model. The record is from RNAcentral.